Molecule: ribosomal RNA, 441 nt
Filed under: uncultured Spirochaetota bacterium
Lineage: Bacteria; Pseudomonadati; Spirochaetota
Description: bacterial SSU rRNA
Rfam family: Bacterial small subunit ribosomal RNA
Source: RNAcentral
GGGCCCGCACAAGCGGUGGAGCAUGUGGUUUAAUUCGAUGAUACGCGAAGAACCUUACCUGGGCUUGAACUGUGCCUGACAGGUGUAGAGAUACAUCCUUCUUCGGACAGGUACAGAGGUGCUGCAUGGUUGUCGUCAGCUCGUGUCGUGAGAUGUUGGGUUAAGUCCCGCAACGAGCGCAACCCUUACUCCCUGUUGCCAUCAGGUAAUGCUGAGCACUCUGGGGGAACUGCCGGUGACAAACCGGAGGAAGGUGGGGAUGACGUCAAAUCAUCACGGCCCUUAUGUCCAGGGACUACACACGUGCUACAAUGGCCGGUACAAAGAGAAGCGAGACCGCGAGGUGGAGCAAAUCUCAAAAAACCGGUCUCAGUUCGGAUUGGAGUCUGCAACUCGACUCUAUGAAGCUGGAAUCGCUAGUAAUCGUGGAUCAGCACGCCA